RNAcentral lists this long non-coding RNA (702 nucleotides) under Carica papaya (papaya). Its description in RNAcentral is "long non-coding RNA (CPAP_LNC016374)". The record is from RNAcentral. Lineage: Eukaryota; Viridiplantae; Streptophyta; Magnoliopsida; Brassicales; Caricaceae.
GAUCAUAUAGCUAUGCUAUGGCUUUCUAGGGCUAUCGUGAGUUGAGGUAACCCUAGCCUUAGAAUCCUAACAAUUCUUGUGUAAUCCAUACCCUAUUCAUAAUUACUUUUUGCGACAAAUAACAAGAUUUUAGAGGAAAUGCCAAGGCCAUUUAGUCAAUAGAGAAAGAUUUUUGAAAUAAUUUUCUUAAUACCCAUGCCACCAACUUUUAAGAAAGGCAACAACACACCAAAGCACCAGAUGUUUUCCCAAGGUCUCACAUGAUCUACACCAUUAAAAAUUCUACAUGAUUCUCUAGCUUCUUGGCCACCCCCUAGGAUCCUAAACAAAGAGAUAAUAUAUAGGAACCAACUUGGAUAAGAGAAACCUUGUCACUUAAAGAACACAAAUUGGCCUUCCAACAAUGAGGCUUGUAGAAAUCCUACUUGCUACAGGAUUUUGGAAAAGCUUAACCUGAAGGUACCCUCAAGAGGGACUCUAAGAUUGGUGAUAGGCCAUAUUAACACAUUGGCUAAUUAACCUUGCAAGCCUAGAGAUGGCACCCUCCCUAGUGUUAGUCACCAGGAUCCACUCUUAGCAAAGGUUGGCGAGUAAUCCCUCAAAAAACUUGGAGUAAGAUGAGCAUAUUAUUGACAACCGAAUUUUCUUUUUGGCGAAUUGGAGAUAGGUAUGUGGUCUAUGUUUGCCACAUACCUAUAGCCA